Xenopus laevis (African clawed frog) is the source of this 1877-nucleotide RNA transcript. RefSeq lists it as uncharacterized. The transcript is spliced from 8 exons. NCBI's taxonomy places the organism in Eukaryota, Metazoa, Chordata, Amphibia, Anura, Pipidae. The record is from RefSeq and is a predicted model, not a curated record.
CACUUGUGCUAGCUGCUGGAGCAAGUCUGAUUUGGGACCUUUGACUUUUACAAUUCCAUUGCCAUUUCUUGCUUUUGGUUUUGUAUAUACUGUGGAUACUUGUGGAACACUGUGGAUACUUGUUGCUUCUGUUUACUGUUGCCUUGUUUUCUCCUGUGCUGCAAACUAACAGUUGUUGUUUAUUUCUUUAGGACAGAAGAAAAUAUUUGCCAUGGCAUCUGAUGGAAGUAACAGAACUCACUUGGCCUGCAAAUUUUGCUUGAAAACCACUGACCGACUCUCUCAACAUCUUCGCAAAGUCUGCAGGAAAGGAGCAAGUGAUGCAGAAAUUGAGGCCCUUGUGGAGGAAUCAAGGUCAAAAAUGAGGAUGUUGGUGAAGAACCUCAGCGUCGUCAAUUAUGAGCAGCUGAGGGCUGGAGCCGAUUCUCAGAAGUCACUGCAAUUUUUCACCAAUUUCCUCGAGUCCAAUGGUUGUUUCAUUAGUGGAAAGCCGGUUGAAGCUGAUGAUGCCAUUCAGAAUCCAGUGACAGAUGCUGAAGAGAUUGAAGAUGAAAUGGAUACAGAACACCCACUUCUUAUGCUGAGCACAUCUGCCAGCAAGAUAUCAUCCAAAAAAGUUAUGGAGGAGGCAGGACUGCACAAAAAACAUUCAGAUGAUUCUCCACUGCUCCAGGCAUUCAGAAGGUACCUGGAGAAAAAAUAUGCAAAAUCCGGAAUCAAACAGGAGGUUCAAAAUGUUUCAAGGUGGCUGUAUUUUGUCAACCCAAACGAAGCUUCGGUUAGCUGCAUACACAACAUUGAGAGGAGCAUGCAGUUCUUUAAAGAAAUUGGAGCUUCGGCAGCCAGCAAGGCGACAUUACGUAACUACAUCGGUGCAGUCAAGAAAUUUAUAAGUUACGUCACCUCAGAUCCUCAACUCUUGGAAAAGGAUUCAUCUCUGCGUGGGUCGAUUGAGUCAUUCUUGAAAAGUAUGAUGGAGGUUCAGAGGACAACAUACAAGGAAAAAUCUGUGGGAAGAAAGGCGACAAAUCCAAAGGAGUGCCAGGAAGUUCUGACCAACGCACACCCAUAUUUUGUGGAAGUAAUUGAUCGGGCCAAUGUCAAGACUGAUUUAGAAGAGAGGGACAUGACAUUGGUGCUCUUCUAUUUAGAGGCUCUCUUGACUUUGCAGCACCUACAGAAGCCAAGUGUCCUUCUGAACAUGACUGUUCAACAGUGGCUGGAAAGGACACGUUACCAGGGACACGCUACAGGCAGCGUAGCAGCUGUCAUAAAGGUGAAGGCUGAAAGAGAGCAUAUCAUAGUCCUUCAAGAAGCAGAAGAGAUGUGGUUUGACACCUUCUUCAGAAGAAUACGACCAAUUUUUAUCAAGAGAAACUUGAAAGGAGAAAACGAAAUUUUUUUGUCUCCAGUAAAGGACAAAAAAUCAAGAACCCAACAUCCGAUGUCCGCAGAUUUCAAGAAAGGUUUGAUGCUUGUUUGGCCAGCGGGCAGGAAACACUGGACAUUUUUACAAAAGUCAUCAGUGACAGCAACUUGAGGGACCAGGAUCUCAUUAAAAGAUAUCUGAAGGCAGAUUCCAGUCGGGAUGAGAGCAGCAUUGAUGACUAUAUACGUGCUGCCAUCAGAGUGAGUGAGCUGCAGAGGACAUGGGUCGAACCCUCACACUCAAGAGAGGGUGAGCAUUCGGGUGAGCAUUCGGCACACCAAUCAGAAAAAGAAUUAGCAUACAAGAACCUGGAGGAAAUAUAUCCAGUGGAGCCUGACACCGAUGGCCCAAGACUGAAAGAAUGCCAGGCAGUUUCAGAAUUACACGGGAGAUACUGCUACGACAGAUGGAGGAGGCGACAGAAACAGAUCCGUAUGGAUGUCAUCAU